RNAcentral lists this unclassified non-coding RNA (194 nucleotides) under rhizosphere metagenome. RNAcentral describes it as "partial ribosomal RNA internal transcribed spacer region". The record is from RNAcentral.
GAAACUUGGGAGAAUUGAUGCUAGACUUGUCUAUGCUCUUCUCCCUUAAUCCAUACACACCUGUGCACUUUGAGAGGAGAGAUUGGUUAACACUGAUUUGUCCUUUCCUACACAAACCCCUUUUUGUAAAACGAAUGUUCAUUGGCCGAAAGGCUCUAAAAAAUACAACUUUUAACAACGGAUCUCUUGGCUCU